This 253-nucleotide ribosomal RNA is filed under the name uncultured bacterium. Its description in RNAcentral is "partial 16S ribosomal RNA". It matches the Rfam family "Bacterial small subunit ribosomal RNA", at positions 524 to 776 of the family's 1533-position model. The record is from RNAcentral.
UACGUAGGGGGCAAGCGUUGUCCGGAUUUAUUGGGCGUAAAGAGCGUGUAGGCGGCCAGAUAGGUCCGUUGUGAAACCUGGAGGCUUAACCUCCAGCUGUCGAUGGAAACCAUCUGGCUAGAGUCCGGAAGAGGAGAGUGGAAUUCCUGGUGUAGCGGUGAAAUGCGCAGAUAUCAGGAAGAACACCCGUGGCGAAGGCGGCUCUCUGGGACGGUACUGACGCUGAGACGCGAAAGCGUGGGGAGCGAACAGG